Molecule: long non-coding RNA, 1928 nt
Filed under: Pelobates cultripes (western spadefoot toad)
Lineage: Eukaryota; Metazoa; Chordata; Amphibia; Anura; Pelobatidae
Rfam family: mir-29 microRNA precursor family (bases 11-81)
Source: RNAcentral
CUCUACUCCCGGAAGCUGGUUUCAUGUGGUGACUUAGAUGUUUCCAUCGCUGUAUCUAGCACCAUUUGAAAUCAGUGUUUUAGGAGUAAGAAAUGCAGCAAGCAAAAGAAAAGGAAACCGAAUGUGACAUGAUCUGAGUUAUGAUUGUAACGCAUGUAUUGAUAAGCUAACUUAGAUAUGCUCUAACUGGAUGUCUCCACAUGCUCUGUUUUUAAACCAGCUGGCUUGCCCCUUUGUGACAGCAUCUUUCAAUUCCAUGUGCAAACGUAACAAAAUGCAACAACACAUAAAAAAAAAAAAUUUAAAUCUUUAAAACAUUAUUUUGUAAUUAUACUAGUAUAAUGUUAGGAGACACACUGCUUAAAGGACAGAUAUAUGUUAAAGUGUACCUCUUAUGAAUAAUUUAGCUUACCUUAAAUCACUCCCAUAUACAUUAAGGAUACCAUAUAUCACAAAGAUACAUGGUGUAUUUAAUGUGAAAUAUAAAGAUUUACUUGCUUUUCCUUUGUUCCAGCGCCAGCAUCUUCAUGCUUAAAGGGUGUUACACUUCGUUUAACAUUCACCUCUGCAUUGUCCUCAACUCCUCCUCCAACUCUGUUCUUCUUUGAUUUGUCCUGCUUGGGAUGCAUCCCCAAGCAAGGCCAAUCUGGUCAGUGAUGUCGGACGCCAGCGUGGGAGGAGAGUAGAGGGACCUCCCUUUUAUGCUCUCCCUUGUCAGUCAAUACCAUUGCACGCUAAGACAUUGACUGACAGCUAGGAUACCUUGGCACGCUAAGACAUUGACUGACAGCUAGGAUACCUUGGCACGCUAAGACAUUGAUUGACAGCUAGGAUACCUUGGCACGCUAAGACAUUGACUGACAGCCAGGAUACCUUGGCACGCUAAGACAUUGACUGACAGCUAGGAUACCUUGGCACGCUAAGACAUUUAUUGACAACUAGGAUACCUUGGCACGCUAAGACAUUGACUGACAGCUAGGAUACCUUGGCACGCUAAGACAUUGACUGACAGCUAGGAUACCUUGGCACGCUAAGACAUUGAUUGACAACUAGGAUACCUUGGCACGCUAAGACAUUGACUGACAGCUAGGAGAAAAACCUAUUUAUAUAGUUACACCUAAACUAUGCAAUUGCUAGCAAAACUGCUAUUAUAGCAUGAUGUACAUUUAAAAUUGCAUGCACAACUUGAUGAGCAUAAGUUGUUUGGGGCAUGACAGAUCUCCUUUAAGCUGUGAUUGCAAAAAUCCUAAAGCACUAAGCCAUAUUUAGAAAACACAUUUGGAUCGCUGAAAUGGUAUAACUGCAUGUUAGUGAACCUUAUUUUGCAUUUCUCCUUCAAUUUAGACCAUGAUGUAAAUAUAUAACAUAGAUGUGGGUGCAUUACAAUAACAGAUAAGAUCCCUUGGGAAUAAUUUUUUAUUGCAAAAACAGAAAUGUUCGCUUACUGUACAGAUGGUGUUGCCUUUAUGCCGUUUAUAUUACAUUCCCCCCUUUUUUUAUUUUUGUAAUCCUCAGCAUUUCUUUGUCUGUUGAAGCAAAUCUUACCAUAUUUAUCGGCAAAAGGCAGAACCCUCUCCAGAAAUGCCACACUUCCAUCUGCUUCAAUCUAAAUUGCAAAAGCUGUUAAUUACACCGAUAUAACUUAGUCCUUAACUCCCCCAUGUCAGAUAAAUUGCAAGGAAUAUUACUAUAUAAAUGGAUUUCCUUACCCACUUGUCAUGAUGAGGUUAAAAAAUACUUCAUGAAUAAUGUUGAUAUAAGUUAUGUCAUUUUAGCAAUGCAGGAGAAGUACUUUUGUUGUAUUGGAGCCAGUGGAGCAUAAAAGUGCAUCCUAUCUGGAAUAGAUAGUGACCGGUAGGGGUGGUUUUAUCCUCAUGUCAUCUUUUGAAAUUGGUGAUUUUAAAGAGAAAACCUAGCACUAAACAGGC